Molecule: non-coding RNA, 80 nt
Organism: Hypoxylon argillaceum
Lineage: Eukaryota; Fungi; Ascomycota; Sordariomycetes; Xylariales; Hypoxylaceae
Source: the annotation of a GenBank genome assembly
UCCGAAUUGGUGUAGUGGCUAACAUUUGACGCUCUCAUUGAAGUGCCGUCAAGCCCGGGGUUCGAUUCCCCGAUUCGGAG